AGUGAGCCCUAAUUCUCACAUUCUCUUCUCUCACGCCGCCAACUUUUUCUCUCAACGUCAAUGAACCCAGAUUUAUAGAGUCCAUUCAUUCUCAGCUUGAGAGAUAUCCCAUGGAGGAGGAGACACCAGAUAUUUGGAAAAUCAAAGUUCUCGAGCAAUCUUUCUUUGUCGGAAUGGGCGGUAUUGGAAAAUCUUUGCAUAUCAAAUCACACAUUCAAGGUGAAUUAUGACAUCACCUUCAAGUCUCGUCGAAGACUCUUAUGCGGUCCUGAGGACCCUUCCGUAUUAUAUCUUCAGAGACAACACGUCUCUAAUAAUAUAUGGGCAGGCAGAAGACGUACGUUGCAGAAGAUAUGAAGGAAUCAUUUGGGAUGUUCCCAUACAUCCGCGUGUUUUGGCAGUAAUAGACGAGAUGGGGUUCAGCGGCAUAUUGAGGUGUGGUCAAUCAAAGGACAUUGACCACCAUCUUAUCACCACGUUGAUUGAACGAUGGGGGCCAGAGACUCACACGUUUCACUUUCCAGUCAGUGAAGCGACAGUGACAAUGGAAGACGUGGAGGUCUUAUGGGGCCUCAAAGUUGAUAGUGAUGCUUUGACGGGUUACAUUCCCAUUAAGGAUGUCAACUAUUGGAUGCAACUUUCUCUGGAUUAUCUUGAAUUUGUACCAGAUACAGUUGAGUUGAAAGAAAUGAUUUGGAAACAGACAAGCUUAUCAAAUCAACUAAGAAUUUAGUUGAGUGAUGAACACGACCACUAUAUAUAUGUUCAACGUGCUCGUGUUUAUUGUCUGCUUUUACUUGGUGGUCUGAUGAUCUCGAACACCUCCGGAAAUAAAAUUUCUUUCUUCUACUUGCAAUUUUUCAUGGAUGUAGAACGAUGUUCUAGCUAUAGUUGAGGUGGUGCGACUCUUGCUUGUUUGUAUCACAAUUUAUGUGAAGCUGUCCUUGCUAGUAGGAGCGAUGUCGGGAGAGCUUGUACUUUGUUACAAUUGUGGGCUUGGGAGAUAAUCCCAAAUAUUAGACCGAAGAUGCUAAAUCCCGUGACUACGCACCAUGUGCAGUCGUGUAAGUUGUUCAUUAAUUAAUUUUUUAAGCAUAAUUUUCAUUAAUUUCCUUGUUAUUCGCUCAUAAUUUAAUUUUUUUAGAUGGAGUGGUAUAGCGUCCAUAUGGACGUCGAUCACAACCCAUAUUUGCUAGAAUUUGGUUGAGUCAUACUUGCCACAGCGAGUGCUGCGACAAUUUGGGAUUGUCCAACCGUAAAUCCCGCUCCUCAACCGGUUCCACGGUACUGAUUUUGUGAAAUAGGAUUGUCGUGGUAAAUCUGGUCGAAAUUGGGUUAAGUACCACGCCAAUCAUAUACAGGAGUGGGACAAUAGGCACAACUUGGUGUGGACUGAUAUGGAGUACUCAAAUGAGCCUAUUGCAACUGAUGAAUAUAUGGAUUGGUUUCGCCGAAUAACUGUGGUGUACUUAACUAAACCUGGCGUGCAUGCUCAAGAGGGCUUCCAUGAAACGACAUCUUCUCAUAGCUUCGCGGUGGAGACGCUUCAAAAAAUACGUCACUUUCUAAGUGGGCAAGAUAUGACAUGAAGACCAGAUUUGGUAACAAUUUCGAGGAUGGUUGAAGAUGGUCUGCAGAUAUCUGGGGAGGCUGAGAUGAUGGACUACCGUCAUUCCCAGCGCUCUGAGCUGAACAUUGACAUGCCCGUGAGACAAAAAGGGAACGACGUGGAAAGAAGAAAAUUGCUUGUGGAGAGUCGUCAUCUUCAAGGAUUGAUGCUCAUUUGGUAGAUGAUUCCGAUGAAGAUUUUGUGCCUCCACCUAGAUCUGCAGUUCGAGGUCGUUAUUCUGUCAGCCACACUGGUGGUACAGGUGAAGAUAUUGGUCUCAGUGAUGUCCACCAUUCUCCACCUCGGUCUUCUGUACGAGAUGAUUUUUUUGGGGUGGAUUUAGAUAAUGUUGUUGUUCAAGAUACUCCUCCCUCUAGACUCUCUACUUCCAGAAUCGGGAAAGGGAUCUGUGGCCUGUUUAUACGGAGAAGGCGAGACAAUUGAACUAAACUACAUCUAUUUUUAUUUGUUUAUUGAGUUGAACUUCGUGUUUGUGAACCUUGUAAUCUUUAUAUUUGAUAAUUUUACAACUCAUCUUUCUAUUCUUAUUUA
Salvia splendens (bonfire salvia) is the source of this 2161-nucleotide long non-coding RNA. RefSeq lists it as uncharacterized. The record is from RefSeq and is a predicted model, not a curated record. The transcript has 3 exons. NCBI's taxonomy places the organism in Eukaryota, Viridiplantae, Streptophyta, Magnoliopsida, Lamiales, Lamiaceae.